RNAcentral lists this ribosomal RNA (497 nucleotides) under uncultured bacterium. RNAcentral's name for it is "partial 16S ribosomal RNA". It matches the Rfam family "Bacterial small subunit ribosomal RNA", at positions 28 to 507 of the family's 1533-position model. The record is from RNAcentral.
GAUGAACGCUGGCGGCGUGCCUAAUACAUGCAAGUCGAGCGAACGGACGAGAAGCUUGCUUCUCUGAUGUUAGCGGCGGACGGGUGAGUAACACGUGGAUAACCUACCUAUAAGACUGGGAUAACUUCGGGAAACCGGAGCUAAUACCGGAUAAUAUUUUGAACCGCAUGGUUCAAAAGUGAAAGACGGUCUUGCUGUCACUUAUAGCUGGAUCCGCGCUGCAUUAGCUAGUUGGUAAGGUAACGGCCUACCAAGGCAACGAUGCAUGGCCGACCUGAGAGGGUGGUCGGCCACACUGGAACUGAGACACGGUCCAGACUCCUACGGGAGGCAGCAGUAGGGAAUCUUCCGCAAUGGGCGAAAGCCUGACGGAGCAACGCCGCGUGAGUGAUGAAGGUCUUCGGAUCGUAAAACUCUGUUAUUAGGGAAGAACAUAUGUGUAAGUAACUGUGCACAUCUUGACGGUACCUAAUCAGAAAGCCACGGCUAACUACGUG